GUUAUGGCCCACAAUAGAUAUCGAUUUGAAAUGUUUGACAGAUACGACAAAAUGUGAGUAUACAGUGUGGAUGUUCCCUCCAUCAAUCACAAUCCAGGACUUGGUCUUUCUUGCUGAAUUAAUUAAUUGACAAAUGCGCAAUAGAUCAAUAGACGUAUCCUCCCACCCAAGGACAAAACAGAAUACAAUGUGUAGAUAGUGAUCCUUCUAAAGACGCAAACUUCAAUU
This 228-nucleotide long non-coding RNA is filed under the name Elaeis guineensis (African oil palm). Its description in RNAcentral is "long non-coding RNA (EGUI_LNC070619)". The record is from RNAcentral. Lineage: Eukaryota; Viridiplantae; Streptophyta; Magnoliopsida; Arecales; Arecaceae.